RNAcentral lists this ribosomal RNA (537 nucleotides) under Pseudozyma sp. DMKU-SP78. RNAcentral's name for it is "LSU rRNA". It matches the Rfam family "Eukaryotic large subunit ribosomal RNA", at positions 131 to 649 of the family's 3401-position model. Lineage: Eukaryota; Fungi; Basidiomycota; Ustilaginomycetes; Ustilaginales; Ustilaginaceae. The record is from RNAcentral.
UCGGCGUCCGCAUUGUAAUCUCAAGAAGUGUUUUCCGCUUCGGACCAUGCCUAAGUCCCUUGGAAAAGGGCAUCAUAGAGGGUGAUAAUCCCGUACAUGGCAUGGAGCGCCCGAAGCUUUGUGAUACGCUUUCUAAGAGUCGAGUUGUUUGGGAAUGCAGCUCAAAAUGGGUGGUAAAUGCCAUCUAAGGCUAAAUAUUGGGGAGAGACCGAUAGCGAACAAGUACAGUGAUGGAAAGAUGAAAAGAACUUUGAAAAGAGAGUUAAACAGUACGUGAAAUUGCCAAAAGGGAAGGGUAGGAGGUCAGAGAUGCGGCCUGGGAUUCAGCCUUGCUUUUGCUUGGUGUUUUUCCCAGAUUGCAGGCCAACGUCGGUUUUGGGCACUGGAGAAGGGUAGGAGGAACGUGGCACCUCUCGGGGUGUGUUAUAGCCUCCUACUGGAUACAGCGACCGAGACCGAGGACAGCAGCGUACUCGCAAGAGCGGGCCUUCGGGCACCUUUACGCUUAGGGCGUUGGCAUAAUGGCCCUCUACCACC